ACAAUACUGUUCGCCAGAGAACUACAAGCAAAAAACUAGAAACUCUAAGGACUUGGCGGUGCUCCAUAUCAACCUAGAGGAGCCUGUCCUAUAAUCGAUACCCCACGCUAAACCUUACCAUCUUUUGCCACUCAGCCUAUAUACCGCCGUCGUCAGCUUACCUUGUGAAAGAAAAAUAGUAGGCAAAACAGCCAACAGCUAACACGUCAGGUCAAGGUGUAGCACAUAAGAUGGAAGAGAUGGGCUACAUUUUCUGCCACAGAACAAACGAAUGCUACAAUGAAACAUGUACCUAAAGGUGGAUUUAGCAGUAAGAUAAAAAAGCAACACUAUCUUAAACAUGCUCUGGAGCGCGCACACACCG
This 364-nucleotide ribosomal RNA is filed under the name Grandidierina fierinensis. Its description in RNAcentral is "partial 12S ribosomal RNA". It matches the Rfam family "Bacterial small subunit ribosomal RNA", at positions 859 to 1392 of the family's 1533-position model. The record is from RNAcentral. Lineage: Eukaryota; Metazoa; Chordata; Lepidosauria; Squamata; Scincidae.